GAUGAAGAACGUAGCGAAAUGCGAUAAGUAAUGUGAAUUGCAGAAUUCAGUGAAUCAUCGAAUCUUUGAACGCACCUUGCGCCCUUUGGCCAUUCCGAAGGGCAUGCCUGUUUGAGUAUCAUGAGCACCUCAACUCUUCAUGGUUUUCCAUGAUGAGCUUGGACUUUGGGGGUCUUGCUGGCCUGUGGGUCGGCUCCUCUCAAAUGAAUCAGCUUGCCGGUUUUUGGUGGGCAUCACAGGUGUGAUAACUAUCUACGCUUGUGGUUUUCCACCAGGGUAACCUUCAGCAGUGGAGGUUCACUGGAGCUUACAAAUGUCUCUCCUCUGUGAGGACAGCCCUUUGAAUGUUUGAUCUCAAAUCAGGUAGGACUACCCGCUGAACUUAAGCAUAUCAAUAAGCGGAGGA
Molecule: unclassified non-coding RNA, 406 nt
Filed under: soil metagenome
Description: partial contains 5.8S ribosomal RNA, internal transcribed spacer 2, and large subunit ribosomal RNA
Rfam family: 5.8S ribosomal RNA (bases 1-121)
Source: RNAcentral